AAAGAACUGAACGGUAAGCAUGUUCCUCAUUUUAUGAGCCUUGAAUGCGACGUCAGAUUAGUAAGUGCAUUUACUCUCUUCCUUCAAUUAGAACUGUAAUUGUAACUGUUAAUUCCUUCAAUUAAACUGCGAAGCCUACUGAAAGUAGCGAAAAGAAGAGUUAAGGCGGAAAGGAGCAAGAAUUCGAGAACUUUGUGAUGAAUUUGAAAGAAGUCCACAAGGACAUGAAAUUAAAAAAAUAGUUAAUGAGGAAUUUCAACUGGAUAGGAUGUUAUUUCCAUGCAGAAAAGAAUUUGAUAUUCAAGCUUGAAAAGAUUUAUCUGAAGGAUUUCUUUGAAGGUGUUGUGAAAGGCAAUGGCAACGAUGCAGUUUGUCAUUCAAGUUCUUAUACAUGAUAUGUUUUACAUGGUGAAAAAUGAAUAAUUUUACACGAAAUUAACGAAAAUGUGAUAAAAUGAAUUAAUAAAAAUUAUUUUAAAUUUUUAAAAA
This is a long non-coding RNA of Stegodyphus dumicola, 489 nucleotides long. RefSeq lists it as uncharacterized. NCBI's taxonomy places the organism in Eukaryota, Metazoa, Arthropoda, Arachnida, Araneae, Eresidae. The record is from RefSeq and is a predicted model, not a curated record.